RNAcentral lists this ribosomal RNA (505 nucleotides) under uncultured bacterium. RNAcentral describes it as "partial 16S ribosomal RNA". It matches the Rfam family "Bacterial small subunit ribosomal RNA", at positions 30 to 523 of the family's 1533-position model. The record is from RNAcentral.
UUGAACGCUGGCGGCAUGCCUAACACAUGCAAGUCGAACGGCAGCAUGGUCUAGCUUGCUAGACUGAUGGCGAGUGGCGAACGGGUGAGUAAUGCGCAGGAAUAUGCCUCAAAGAGUGGGACAACUUAGGGAAACUUAAGCUGAUACCGCAUAAGCUCUGAGGAGGGAAGCUGGGGACCUUCGGGCCUGGCGCUUUGAGAAUAGCCUGCGUCUGAUUAGCUAGUUGGUAGGGUAAGAGCCUACCAAGGCGACGAUCGGUAGCUGGUCUGAGAGGAUGAUCAGCCACACUGGAACUGAGACACGGUCCAGACUCCUACGGGAGGCAGCAGUGGGGAAUAUUGGACAAUGGGGGGAACCCUGAUCCAGCAAUGCCGCGUGUGUGAAGAAGGCCUGAGGGUUGUAAAGCACUUUCAGUGGGGAGGAGGGUUGAUAGGUUAAGGGCUAAUUGACUGGAUGUUACCCACAGAAGAAGCACCGGCUAACUCCGUGCCAGCCGCCGCAGUAA